Molecule: non-coding RNA, 46 nt
Filed under: Trichobilharzia regenti
Lineage: Eukaryota; Metazoa; Platyhelminthes; Trematoda; Strigeidida; Schistosomatidae
Source: RNAcentral
AUCGAAAUGACGAGUCCCAAAUGGAACGAAACCCGUGUCUUUUGAU